Molecule: long non-coding RNA, 4698 nt
Organism: Scylla paramamosain (green mud crab)
Lineage: Eukaryota; Metazoa; Arthropoda; Malacostraca; Decapoda; Portunidae
Exons: 3
Source: RefSeq, a predicted model, not a curated record
AUAAUAAUAAUAAUAAUAAUAAUACUGCCACUACUUCUGAUUUAACUAUGUAAUUGACGUUAAUAAUUAGCGAAAAUCAAAUGAGAGAUAUUAACGGUCACUGAACCAGCUGUACAGUUAACGCAGCCAACACGCACACCCAACACCCGUCAGCCAGUGUGAGAGUCCUUAAGCAAAUAAAUGAGUAACUUUAAAGUGACAUGGAGGAGUGAGGUGGAGAGGAGAACUAGAAGACAAAGGGUUGGAAGAUGGACCGUGUUAGGAAAAGGGUUAUUUGUUAUCGAAUUGCGUGUUUAUAAUACGUCACUCUAUCUCCUUUUAGGGAUUGUAUUCUCAGUGGGUCUUCUUUCACACUUUUUGUUGCCGUUUGAUCAGUGUCCUUCUUAGGCUGAAGGAAGAAUGAAGAAAUAUUCUCGUUCUUCUUCAUUCCUCUCAUUCUGACUGCCAACCACCCUGUAUACAAGGUGAAAAGUGUUGGUGCUAAUAUACAGCCUUGCCUAACUCCUCCCUCACUCUUCAGCCAGUGGAAUGCAGUAUAUUUAGAGACAUGUGAAGGCGACACUGAGGUACAAAGCUGGAGUAGAUCGAAUGGAUGAUGCAGGACUAGCGAGGAAGGUGUUUCUACGGAAUGUUAGGAGUACCAGGUGGGGAAGAAGUGCGUUGAGAUGGCAGCAAAGAAUGGCUUGGAAACUUGUUGGGCUUUCCAGCGGUGUGACAGUGACUUGAGCAUGGUUGUUUGUUAGAAAUGGAGAGACAAGAUAUAGAAGACAUGAUCGCAGCAUCACAUCAACAACAUACAAAAGAGGAAAAGAAAACGGCAGUAAAUAUAAAAGAAAACUCAAAAUACUUCUUCUCAUAUGCAAAACAUGACUACUGCAGGUCCCCUCACAGAGCAAGAUAGAGAAGUAACUGGUGACCCAAAAGAAGUGGCCAGCAUCCUCAAAAGAAUGACUGUCUUCAGCACACCCUGUAUAAAAAAAAAAAAAAAAUACAAGACCUACAGUCCUUUGUGGAGCAAGCAAAGGAUCCCAGAAAAUGAAGCAGCAUUGAUAUCAGUGAGGCAGACAUCACAGCUGCAAUUGACGCCAUUGCAAGUGAUGCAGCGACUGGGCCUGAUGGUUUCCAUACAAAAUUAUUAAAACACUGCAAGAAAGAACUGGCUAGACCUCUUCGGAUUCUAUGGAGUUCCUCACUGAAGAGCAGCACCAUGCCAGAACACUCUUAAGUCUGCUGUGAACACGCCUAUGCACAAGGGAGGAAGCAAAGGACUAGCCAGCAAGCAUAGACCAGCUGCACUGACAUCCCACCUUGUCAAGAUUUGUGAAAGGGUCAUCAGGAAGACUGUGGUGCACUUCCUUGAAGCAAAUGGAGCCUUCAUUAGUGGACAACAUGGCUUCAGAAAGGACACUCUUGCCUGUCCCAGUUUUUACUUCACUAAAACAAAAUUUUCAAGUACAAACAAAAUGGCGAGAACACAGACAUCAUCCACUUAGACUUUGCUAAAACAUUCGACAAGGUUGGUCAUGAGAUAUUCCUUCACAAACUUCAAGUCCUGGGAAGUGAAGGACCAUUUGCUAGGUGCAUCCACAGUUUCCUAACGGGGAGAACCCAACAAGUGUCAUUCUAGGGGGUUGGGGGAGACUGUCUGACCAAAGUGAAGUCUGCAGUGGAGUACCCCAAAGCUCAGUACUUGGGCCACUGCUCUGUAUAAUAGGAGACACUGACUCAGACUUAAAACACUGAAACAUGAUCUUUUGCAGACGAUACAAGAAUAAAGAGACAAAUAAGAAGUGCAGGGGACACCCAUAAUCCUCAGGAUGACCUAAGCAAAGCAGUACAAUGGGCAGAAACAAACAACAUGGCAUUAAACAAUGAAAAAUAUGAAGUCAUCCAGUAUAGGAAGAAGGACGACAUAAAGAAGGCAAUUGGCUAUACAGUAAACACCAUUUCAUAUAGGAGAAAAAAAUAUCAAAGAUCUGGAUAUCCUAAUCAGCAGCGAUGGCACUUCACUCAUCACAUCAACAAAACAGCAGAAUUUGCAAGACAGAGGAGUGGAAGGAUACUAAGACUUUUCACCACUAGGGAGGACCACUGCUUAAGGACACUAUGGAAAGCCCUGGUGGUGGUGCCAAGGCUUAAGUACUGCUGCCAGCCCUGCUCUCCACUCACCAUCCAAAAAGUAGUCACCGUGGAAGUCCCUCAAAGAUCAUUCACUUCAAAAAUUAAUGGAGUACAACACCUUAACUACUGGGAGAGACUAAAAUAACUCUACGUGCGUUCCAUGCAGAGAAGAGAACGUUACAUUGUAGCGAAGGUGAGGUGCUACUUGGCCGCCCGGAAGAUGCUCAAGCGAGAAGUUUAGGCUCCCAACUACGACUUGGUCAUAGCAGUGUUUAGUCCUUGCGAGCGUGUGCAGUAGAGAGAGUGAAAACGGAAGGGUGAAAAAUUAACAGAAAACGGAGUGCUAGGAGCGGUGACUUGUGUCCCGCUACAACAUCGUACCGUGAGCUUGGAGGAUGGUACAAGCAGAGGGCAGAGUACCAAGUCUUGGCGUGACAGUGACCCGCCACCCAAGACGAGGCAGACUUUGUUACAUCCAAGUGACCAGGGGCAAGAUUCAGCGAGUGAUGACCUUGAAACACAGCUCCUUCACCCACAAUGGACCUUGACUGUUCAACUGCCUACCCCAGACACUUUGAGAUCUAAGUGGAAUCACCAAUGAAUCUUUUAAAAUGAAACUGGACAAGUAGGCUCUGUGAUGUACCACACCGGCCACCUGCACCAGAAUACACCAGCCAAUAUCACAACACUGCCUGAAAUGAUCAAGGGCAGGAUAGACCAUAAUGGAACAACUGGUACAAGCGUCAUUAACAGACACAAUCAUUAAAAGCAGCAAAAGUAGAUGUUUUAACCAUUUCUGUCCAUGGAUCUCCCGAGGCUUCCAUUAUAUCUUCAAAGAUUGUUUUUGGUGAUGCAUCGUUUCCUUGCAUGUUGUGUCUAUAUCGCUGUUCAGUAUAUUAAGAUUCAUAUGUUUUGAAAUUCUAAACACUCGCAUACCAUUAUUAUUAUUAUUAUUAUUAUUAUUUUUCUAUUUUCCAAUGAUCCCAAUGUGACCGUUGAAGUCUCCAACGAUAAUACUCGUAUAUUUUCCAUGUGUAUUCUUUCCUAUUGCUAGGACUUCCUCUUCAGUUAAUUCAUUUUUUGAAUGAAUGGAAGAAUGAGAUGGAAAGAAAGAAGACCCUGGAAUGGUACAAGGAGAAAGAGGCCCCGAGGUAUGAAAGGUGGUAUGAUGGAAGCCUGGGCGGUGAUCUGUUCCGAGCGAGGGCACAGUGUAUGGAUGUGAAUGCAAGGAGUUACAGGUGGUCUGAGUCCCGCAGCAAAGUGUGCCAGAUGUGUGACAUGGGAGAGGAUGAGACGGUGGAACAUGUGGUGCUGGAGUGUGUGAAGUAUGCCAGAGACAGGAAUGAGAUGAUGCGAGUGAUACUGACUGAGUUAGGGCAUGAUAGGAAUGAAAGAGUGGAGAAGACAGGAAAGGAAUGGAUGGUGUUGUUGCUGGGACUGUGUAGAGAGGCGAAUGAAAGGAUGAUUGAGGCGGUGAAAGAGUUUCUGGAGAGAAUGUGGCGUACCAGGUGUAUGAACAAUUAGGAUAGAGGAUGCUGUUCGUUUCUCUUCUUUCCCCCCCCACCCCCCUUCUACAGGAGUUGCCGAUCCAAAGGCCUGGCUCAGGAGUGAUCCUGUGCCACCUGUACCAUCAAGAUCAAGAUCAAGAUUCCCGCUUCAUCUUUCGCUGAUGGCGACACGUCCUCUCUCAUUUUACUUGCAUUUUAGAUGAGCAGAACGGACGGCAGUGGUGAGAGCAAGACUCGACUGGCAAAUCCUACCGUCCAUUCUGCCCCAGAGCCCCAGAGCCCCUCAGGACAGUGGCCGCCGACUCAGAACGCUGCACCACUAUUGGACGUGCCGUGAGGCGGGGCAGCAGCAUGAAUGGCAGGUGGAAGCAGCAGCAGCAGCAGCAGCAGCAGCAGUCUGCCUCAGGUGUGGGAAGACACAGGCAUGGUGGCAAGAAUCACCUGGAGGCAGGCAGCUCUGUCCACAGCGGAGAGAGCAAGUUUGAGUGCCAGCAAUGUGACAAAACCUUUUGUAUCCAGAAGUGGCCUUAGGUACCACACCCUGACACACAGUGGUGUUAGAAAUUAUGAGUGUGGUGAGUGUGGACAGAAAUUUAUGAAAAAGUCUCACCUCACCACACACACCCUGACACACAGUGGUGUUAAAAAUUAUGAGUGUGAUGAGUGUGGAAAGAAAUUUACCCGUAAGUUUCACCUCACCACACACACCCUGACACACAGUGGUGUUGGAAAUUAUGAGUGUGGUGAGUGUGGCAAAAAAUUUAUGCAAAAGUUUCAGCUCACCAGACACACCCUGACACACAGUGGUGUUAGAAAUUAUGAGUGUGGUGAGUGUAAGAGGAAAUUUACCCACAAGUAUGACCUCACCAACCACACCCUGAUACACAGUGGUGUUAGAAAUUAUGAAUGUGAUGAGUGUGGAAAGAAAUUUAUGAAAAAAGUCUCACCUCGCCAGACACACCCCUGACACACAGUGGUAGAAAUUAUGAGUGUGAUGAGUGUGGCAGGAAAUUUACCAUAAAGUCUCACCUCACCAGACACACCCUGACACACAGUGGUGUUAGAAAUU